ACACUCCUACGGGAAGCAGCAGUGGGGAAUAUUGGACAAUGGGCGCAAGCCUGAUCCAGCCAUGCCGCGUGAGUGAUGAAGGCCCUAGGGUUGUAAAGCUCUUUCACCGGUGAAGAUAAUGACGGUAACCGGAGAAGAAGCCCCGGCUAACUUCGUGCCAGCAGCCGCGGUAAUACGAAGGGGGCUAGCGUUGUUCGGAUUUACUGGGCGUAAAGCGCACGUAGGCGGACUAUUAAGUCAGGGGUGAAAUCCCGGGGCUCAACCCCGGAACUGCCUUUGAUACUGGUAGUCUUGAGUUCGAGAGAGGUGAGUGGAAUUCCGAGUGUAGAGGUGAAAUUCGUAGAUAUUCGGAGGAACACCAGUGGCGAAGGCGGCUCACUGGCUCGAUACUGACGCUGAGGUGCGAAAGCGUGGGGAGCAAACAGGAUUAGAAACCCUUGUAGUCCCAUGAU
This 452-nucleotide ribosomal RNA is filed under the name uncultured organism. RNAcentral's name for it is "partial 16S ribosomal RNA". It matches the Rfam family "Bacterial small subunit ribosomal RNA", at positions 333 to 801 of the family's 1533-position model. The record is from RNAcentral.